Molecule: long non-coding RNA, 609 nt
Organism: Humulus lupulus (European hop)
Lineage: Eukaryota; Viridiplantae; Streptophyta; Magnoliopsida; Rosales; Cannabaceae
Exons: 2
Source: RefSeq, a predicted model, not a curated record
UUUUUCGCUUUUUAGAGAGGGAGAGAGAUGACUUGGGCAGGGAGAGAGAAACGCGCAGUCACAAGAGUUGCGUCGCGAGCAUUGAAGAGGAGAGGAGUGUGUGGGGGGCCAGUAUGAACUAUAAACAGGUCUGCAUCUCUUAGGCUCCAUCUUCUCAAUGGCAUAGGUUGGUUUUCUCUCGUAUCUUCUUCUACCUCUUUUAUUCUUCCAUAUUCAGCCAUGGCUUCAUACAAUAGCAAAUCAGUUAGCAACAAUGAUGUAAGGUUUAAAAAUAAAAUAAGUAGGUGUGGAAAAAAUGUGUUCUGAAAAUCAGUGAGACAAAGAGAAAUUCAAAUAGAUUUUUUUAUCGAUGUCCAUAUAAAGCUAAAGAAUGCGACUACUUUGGUUGGUGGAACGAAGAACAAUGGAAUGAAGGUGAUAAUGAUGAAGAAGAUUGGGAGAGUGAAGAGACUUCAAGCCCAGAAAGUAUACAAAGCUUAAAAAGCAAAAUAGCUAUUGGAAAGUUUUUGAUAAAGAGUUUAUGUGUCUUUGGUAUGUUUAUGAUGGUUUUGGUUAUGUUUAUAAUAUGCAAGAUUUGAAUAAGAUUUUAGCUCCAAAUUUGUUGCAAAA